CAUCAUUUCUUCCGCUGCAUAAUGAAACUCAGUUGAUGUGUCUGCACUGGCUCUUAUGUUUGAUGACAAAAAUUAGGUGUUUGCUCAGGGCCUGAUAAAAGAUGCACAAAUAUCAGUUUGAAAAUUAGAAAGCAUGACAUUGUCGUGGUGAAAGAUGAUACAAUCUACCCAUUGUUUUGGCAGCAUUGCAGGGUAAUCCAGUUUUGAAUUUUGCCAAUAUCCAUUGAUGAGGCAUGGAGAUUGUAGUGUUCUUAUUAUUGUUAGAUUUGUUAGAUCUAGAUAUUCAUCGGAGUUUCAGCUUCGCUCCUUUAACAUGAUUGAAGGCGGUCUUUAGAAAAUGUGAUAGGUGGGGUUGUGGACAAUGCUUGAGUAUGUGAAGCUGGCUUGAAAGCAGUUCAAUCUGGACUUGCAUAGGGGAUUUGGAUUGGAAUGUUGUUCGGCACGGUUGUUCAUACUCUUGUACUAUCUUACCUUACAUGGAGAACUGACUGGGACAAUCAGCUAGAUUCUGUCAACAAAAAGGUGCAGUUUAAUCCACAGCCACAGACUGACUUCAGGAAAAAGCACAUACAAGCAAAACUACGCCCUCAUCCUUCAGGGUGAGUUUCAGACUGAAAACUGAUACAAAUCUCUUUGAGAUUGCAAAGUCUGAGGAAGCUUCAAAAUCUCCAAAAAAGGAUUGAUUGAGUUGGGAUGAAUGCUUGAGCCCCACUUGGUAAUUCUUAUUUAAUGGAUUUUUUGAGAAUUUCUUCAAAUUUAUAAUUUUGGUUUUGGUGUUGGGAUGGUCUU
Long non-coding RNA from Magnolia sinica, 789 nucleotides. RefSeq lists it as uncharacterized. The transcript has 4 exons. Lineage: Eukaryota; Viridiplantae; Streptophyta; Magnoliopsida; Magnoliales; Magnoliaceae. The record is from RefSeq and is a predicted model, not a curated record.